RNAcentral lists this ribosomal RNA (424 nucleotides) under uncultured bacterium. RNAcentral describes it as "partial 16S ribosomal RNA". It matches the Rfam family "Bacterial small subunit ribosomal RNA", at positions 360 to 776 of the family's 1533-position model. The record is from RNAcentral.
AAUUUUGGACAAUGGGCGUAAGCCUGAUCCAGCCAUGCCGCGUGAGUGAAGAAGGCCUCCGGGUUGUAAAGCUCUUUCGGCCGGAAAGAAAUCGCGCAGGCUAAUACCCUGCGCGGAUGACGGUACCGUCAUAAGAAGCACCGGCUAACCACGUGCCAGCAGCCGCCGUAAUAAGUAGGGUGCGAGCGUUAAUCGGAAUUACUGGGCGUAAAGCGGUGGGAGGGGGGUGGUUAAGAAAGGCGGGAAAGCCCCGGGGUUAACCAGGGAACUGGGCGUGUGACUGGGCAGCUAAAGUAAGGCAGGGGGGGGGGGAAUUCCACGUGUAGCAGUAAAAUGCGUAGAGAUGUGGAGGAACACCGAUGGCGAAGGCAGCCCCCUGGGCCGAUACUGACGCUCAUGCACGAAAGCGUGGGUAGCAAACAGG